UAUCGGUUACAACAUCUCUAUUGUAAACCAUACGAGCAAGAGUUGUUUUGCCUUGACCUCCCAUCCCCAUUACAGCAAUGACUGGUAAAUCCUCCGCAUGAUUUGUGCACACUGCAUCGACUAAAAAUGAUAUAUCAUCAUUUCUUCCAACUAUGAGUGACUCGUCUUCAAAGGGGGGAGUAUUGCGCAUUUCCCUGGGCUGCACAGUAGUAGUUAAUUGUGCCACAGGUUGAAGCCCGAGUUUUCCAGCCCAUUCGAAAAUUUUGUCGAAAGAAGAAUUGAUGGACUUGAUCUUAUUGGCAACUUUGAAACGAUAAAGUACGCCCUUCUUAGUAGAAAAGAAGUCCCUCACCUUACUACGAUUUUCAACCUUUCUUCGAGUGACUUCAUAAGCAAGUUGAUCCAUAAAAGCAUCAGCUAUAUGAGCAACGUCCGCCAGUUUGUUGAACCAGCUCUGGACAGCAAACAUGUUUAGUCUUUUGCUAUCAGCAUCGGACAAGAGAGCAUCAAUGUCUUCCAACCUUUCUCGCAGCAUUACCAAAUCUUCCUGAAUAUUCCAAGCCUGAAUCACUUCUUCAGCUGCAAGUUAAACAAGCUUGAAAACCAGGCCACCAGCAACAUCAGCUACAAAUACAUCAGCCAUCUUUAUCAGUAUAGCUCAUGUAUAGGAAAACAAAUAUUUGUUAUGGAUGAAAAUUAUAAUUUGAUACCCCAACAACUCCACCGCGUUGAAGUUAAAUUACAAAGAAAAAAUGCAGAUUCUUGCUUCGUAUAGGGUUCAGCAGAAACCAGUGAAUGAUGGGUACGUUUGCACUAAAAAUACAAUUUUUGUUAGCAUCUACUUGGUCAACUCGUCGAUAAUUAAUUUACACCCACCAUAAUCCAACAUUUUCCUCAAUGACCAACCACCCUAGUAUCGACUCCCCGUGCCAACUCGUCUCGCCAGAUACAAUACAUUAUUACUCUGGCACUAUAAGUUGAACCCCAGAAUAUACCCUUGCCUAAAAAUUACUUAAUUUUGACUUUGUUUAAAAAUGAAGAAUUUUUUGAAACACAAAUCUUUAGAAGUAAGUUUUCGGAAUAUUAUUUUCCCAGAAAAUAUUUCCCAUCACCUGACUAUUGCAAUUUUUUCCUGAAAAUUGGUGAAAAAUAUCUUCCACUACCGACGUUUUGUCAUUUUUCCAGAAAUCAUGUUAUAUUUUAGAGAAAUUUUCCUCCCACAAUAAAUAUUUCAAAUUCCAGAAAGUACACAAGCCUACAAAUUUUUUCCAUAAGUUUUGACUAUAAGCAGAAGUCGAGUCUUAAGAAAAGCCAGGUUUUUAUAACUUCUUUUCUGAACUUCUUUUGCUUUUAUUAGGGGCUUCAUUUCUUUUGCCAAACAGCCAACGAAAAAGAGGAAGUGAGCUUCUAGGCUUUUAAGCUCAGAAGCUUCAUUCCCAAACAUCCACAACAUCAUCUUUAAAAUGAUAUGGGACAAGUAGAAAAUUGUGAUUGGGUGAUUGAUGUAUAUACAAGAGGUCUCAUUCUUAUUGGAGUGAAUGCAACAAAUUAGGUUUCGACACAUCAUUUGAGAAAAUAAUAUGAGAUAACAGGUUGAGGCAGUACUUAGCAUUUUCCACCGAUGUGUUUCUACAAUCAUAAAAGAACUAAUACAAUCAUGUACUCUCGUUAUGUCAUUUAAAAUCAUUCCCGUCAUCAAAACUUCGAUAAAUGAUCCUAUACAUGAUUUCCUAUUCCAUUUUCUCGUUUUGACCUUAUCCUAAUUACGGACUUCAGAAAUCAGAAGUCCAUUUUCUAGUUGCACAGAUCUAUAAUAAUUUUAAAAUUAUCUCAAUUUUGUAAUUCUCUCUAUAUAACCAUAGAGAUUGCAAUCACUUGAUAUGGAUGGGUGUGUGUAAAAAGAAAAGAAUUUAUCACAGAGUAAUAUGAUGCCAACCAUUUAACAAUUAUAACAUUUUUAGCCUAGCUUUCGCAGAACCAUUUGCGAAAAUGAAUUUAUCUAAGAGUAAUAUGAUGCAUCAAAUAUUUACAAUGAGAGCAAGUUAUUAUUGCUUGUUAACUACUCACAAAUAAAAAUGACAGAAUACAGUAAUGUAACAUACCUCAUUCAAAUUUCCUUAACAUCACUGUGUACUGUGUUACGUUACUGUUACUCUCAUCAAUCAAGGCCAUUUAUUUGUUUGAUAUGUUGGAUUUUGGACCAUUCCGGCCCACUUCCCUUCUUAUAUCUUUCUUCUAUUAUAGGAGAUCCAUAUAUUUCCAGGAACUGAAAUUUGUCAUGGAAUUUUGGCAAGCUCUCCAAGUUUCCACAACGUAUGAUAGAUAACCGCUCCAGAAAUGGAAGCUUUGCCAGUGAAAUGGGAAGAGAUUUCACUCCUUUAAAACUGUCUAUGCGUAAUUGACGCAAUGCAGGGAAGAUGGAGGUGAGAUAAUCAUCAGGUUGCCUUUCAUCCACUAUCCACUUUAGCUUUUCCCACCCCCACACUGUUAGGUUGAUUAGAUUGGGAAAUGAAAAGGAUAAGGGCCAUGGGAAUUCAUCUAAAUUCUCCGAGAAGGGGCCUAAUUCCAAUCUUUCAAUUGUAGAACUCACACUUUGGGCAAACACCACAUAGUUCGGACAUCUCGAAACAGAAAGAUCUUUUAGACCAUCCGACCCUUUGAUAACAUUAAUAGUAUUCAGGUCAUGCAAAUCAUGUACCCUCAAUCCUCAAAGUUUCCAAAGUCACAGAAUUGUUUUUCAAGAGCUCGCCCAUUAUGCAGUUCAUACUUGAAGAAGAAGAGGAGGAGGAAGAGCAUCCUACCCCGCCACUGAUAUUCAGGAGUUGUCAAUCUGUGAGACCACAUGCCUUUGUGCUUAUUGAUUCCAGUAGCUUGCUCCUGUCCUAUUUCUCCUCAUCUUUUUCCCUGCGAUUUUCUCUAUAGUAGAUAUUUAACAUGCAGAAAAUUAGAGUUACAUGGAAGAAAUAUGAAUUUAUUUUAUGUGCUAAGCAGUCGAGAAUUAGAAGUUCAGAAGCUCUAAUUUUAGUGUUAUUAUAUAACAAAGAUUUGCUAAGUAAAGAAAUUGCUAAACAUACAGUAGUAAGAGCAUCUCCAACCAUCUAAAGCCCUUGGCUAAAAGAUGAGUUGGCUUACUUAAAAUAAAAAAAUUUAGUCAACAGCUCCAAAAACUCAACUCCAACCAUGCUCACCUGUUGUCUGUAAAUUUAGCCAACCUCCUAUGGAUGGCUAAAUUUGUCGAACCUCUACAGGUCUGUAAGAAAAUCUGUAGGAAGAUUGUACAUCAUUUAUUACCAUAUUGAACUGAUAUAUUCUAUUUUAACAAUUUAAAAUAUUAAUAACAUACUAUUUUUAAAUUAUAGCCAACCAAUAUAUCCCGUUCCAUUGAAGCAAAAUGUCUUGCAGGUUCAGCAAAUUUUACAUAAUGUCUUACAGGUUCAAUUUAGCCAACGAUUAUAGCGAACGCCGUUGGAGAUGCUCUAAUCCGUAACCUGUAAAUACAAGUUUAUUAUCUAAAAGAACAAAGAGAUAAAUAUCACAUAAUUAACGUGGCAUCCUCUGCACGUCCUCCAGCCAUGUCUGAUAUGCUAUCUUUGCGGGUGAAUAUGACUGUCAUGACAUUACUCUCAUCAAUCAAGCCCAUCUAUUUGUUUGAUGUGUUGGAUUUUUGACCAUUCCGGCCCACUUCCCUUCCUGUAUCUUUCUUUUAUUAUAGGACAGUUAAAUAUAUUCAGAAACUGAAAGUUGUGAUGGAACUUUGGUAAACUCUCCAAAUUUCCACAACUCUCAAUAUAUAACCUUUCCAGAAAUGGAAGUUUUUCUAGUGAAAUGGGAAGAGUUUUCACUCCUUCAAACCUCCUUAUACUCAAAUCACGCAAGGCAGGGAAGAUGGAGGUGAGAUAAUCAUCAGGCUGCCCUUCAUCCACUAUCCACUCUAGCUUUUCCCACCCCCACAAUGUUAGCUUGAUUACAUUCGGAAAAGAAAAGGAUAAGGGCCAUGGGAAUUUAUCUAAAUCCUCCGAGGAGCGUCCUAAUUCCAAAAUUUCAAUUGUUGAACUCACACUUGAGGCAAACACCUCAUAGUUCGGACACCUCGAAAUAGAGAGAUCUUUUAGAGCAUCCGACCCUUUGACAACAUUAAUAGUAUUCAGCUCUAGCAAAUUAGUCAAUCUUAAGCUCUUUAAACCUGCACCAAGUGUCAGGUAUGUCAAUCCCUGUAACUUUCCUACACACAAAGUUUCCAAAGACACAGAAUUGUUUUUCAAGAGCUCGCCCAUUAUGAAGUUCAUACUCGAAGAAGAGGAGCAUCCUACUCCGCCACUGAUAUUCUGGAGUUGUAAAUCUUUGAGACCGCAUGCCUUUUCGCUCAUUGAUUCCAGUAGCUUGCUGCUGUCCAAGUCUGUGAUAUGCAGUGUCUUCAUCAAUGGAUAACAACUACCCGGAAUCCUUGUCAACUUUGGACAUUCUAGAAUCCGUAACUCCUCGAGUUUAGGAAAUACUAGCACAUUAUCCAUAGCUGGGUCUUGCCAUUCUUCUAGAUUUGGCAAAAUGCGUAAAUGAAGAUUUUUCAAUGACGGAUACAUUGUUGCAACUGUUUCUUCUUCCCCAUUUUCACCACUAAUGCUACUUUGACUUCCACAUAAAUGGCUCCUGAUAACCUUGACGUUAUCCAUCCCCUCUAUCCAGAUCUUCCUCAAUUUAGGAAGAUGACCCAGCUGUGGAAACUCUUCACAUCUUUUGCAAUUGUCAAAUGUGAUCACUUCCAAGUUUAUCAUCAUUAUAAUCCAAGUUGCAAACUUCUUUCCCCAAAAGAUCUCAACAGCCAAUUCUUUUAGAUUUGUGUGAGGUUGUAAUCCUUCCAUCACAUCCUCAUGGUUGUUUUCUUUUUCUUCCAUCACAUCUAUAUUCCAGCUCCAGACUAACUUUAAAUGCUCAAUAUUAGAUUUUGUAUGCAAACUCGCCUUUCUUGCUUCUUCCAUAUUCUCUACAUCAUUAAGCCCAUAAAUCUUCAGAGUACCUUGAAGAUUUUUUAAACUUCCCAAUUGUCCGAUAAGACACUGAUGAUCUCUACUCACAACAUAUUGAGGCAGUGUUUGAAGACAAGUUAACCUCUCUAUCUUAGAAAACAUGUCCGAACUCCCCAACUCAACGUCAUGAACGACAAGAAUAUGUCUUAAAUUGAUUAAGUUGCAAAUCUUUCUUGGAAGCUGUGUUGUAAUCCAAACGCUCAAUGUCUGCAAGUUGUAGAGUCUCGUGAAGUAAUCAGGCAAUUUAUAAAUAAUGCCGAAAUUUGAGAUAUCCAAAUACUUAAGAUACUUCAGAUUGCUCAAUGAAUUUGGCAACUCACCCCUUAAGCUAUGUUUUAGAACCAAACCAAUCAAGUGACUGGGGUAAGGCACCAAGUCGUUGACGAUGUAGGCCUCUGCGUACAAUACUUGUACUUUCUCAAACUUUCUCUUAAGAAUGGGUGGUUUAAUAUUCGAAAUCCCUUCAUCAACCCUCACAUAUAUGGCGUUGGAAAUAUGGUUUAACUCAUGAUCAGCCUCCACAGUUACAGAAUGAUUUUUAGAAAGAUCUAGUGCUAGAUCGUGCACUAGAUCAUGCAUCUUGCAACUGGUACCAUAUUUAUUCCUUCUCACAUCUUGUAACAAACAAUUCCACACCAAUAUGUUAAAGUAUUCGCUCCCAACGUCUUCCAUGAGAAUAUUGCUACCUUUAGGAGGCAAAAGGAAUCCUAAUGCCAUCCAUAUACGUAUCAUUUCAUUUUUCCAAACAGUAGAAUCCUUUGGCAAAAUUGAACAAUAUGUAAAACAUUUUUUUAGAGAAGAAUAAGGUAGAUUAUCAUAAGACAGUCUCAAGGAAGACAAUACACCAUCCGAAUUCCACCUUGGAUUAUUUUGAAUCCCCCUAGUGUCUUUAUUGCCAAAGGCAGGCCACCACACCUUUCCACCAUUCUUUUUCCCAUGGCCGUAAAUUUUGGCGUUUCUAAAACUCCUCCUGGUGAAAAUGCUCUUCGCUUGAACAAUUCCCAACUAUCUUCUUCUGAUAAUUUGCCCACCUUAUAAGAAAUAACACUUCGCAUGGCAUUAACGACUUCCUGUUUGCGAGUAGUAACUAAAAUCUUGCUUCCACUCGCUCCACGAACACCGAGCAAGGAAUUCCUUAAGUUAUCCCACUCCUCUGGUCUCUCAUUCCAGACAUCAUCUAAGACGAGUAAAAACUUUACCCCGCUUAGAGAGUUUUGAAGUUUUUUAAUGACGCCUUCUGGAUUUUCUAUCGAGGAGGCAGUUGAAGUGAGUGAAGCUACCAUUUGAUUUAAAAUCUUCAUGAAAUCAAAAUCAUCUGAGACAGAGACCCAGAUCCUCUCGGUGAACAUAUCAGUUACAACAUCUCUAUUGUAAACCAUACGAGCAAGAGUUGUUUUGCCUUGACCUCCCAUCCCCAUUACAGCAAUUACUGGUAAAUCCUCCGCAUGAUUUGUGCACACUGUUUCGACCAAAAAUGAUAUAUCAUCCUCUCUUCCAACUAUCUGUGACUCAUCUUCACAGGGGGGAGUAUUGCGGAUUUCCCUGGGCUGCACAGUACUAGUUAACUGCGCCACAGGCUGAAGCCCGAGUUUUCCAGCCCAUUCAAAAAUUUUGUCGAAAGAAGAAUUGAUAGACUUGAUCUUUUGAGCAACUUUAAAACGAUAAAGUAUGCUAUUCUUAGUAGAAAACAAGUCCCUCAACGUACUGCGAUUUUCAACCUUUCGCCGAGUGAUUUCAUAAGCAAGUUGAUCCAUGAAAGCAUCAGCUACACGAGCAACAGCCUCCAGUUUGCUGAACCAGCUCUGGACAGCAGACAGCUUUAGUCUUUUGCUAUCAGCAUCGGACAAGAGAGCAUUAAUCUCUUCCAACCUUUCUUGCAGCGUUACCAGAUCUUCCUGAAGAUUCCAAGCCUGGAUCAAUUCUUCAGCUGCAAGUGAAACAAGCCUGAAAACCAGGCCACUAGCAAGAUCAACUACCAAUGCAUCAGCCAUCUUUAUGAGCACAGGAAAAGAAAUGUUUGUAAUGUAUGGAGAUUAUAAUUUGAUACAGUGUAAUACAAGUUCAAUUACAAUGUAAGAAUACAGAUUCUUGGCCCGAAUAAGCAGGGGCGGUCCUGGCCCAGUGCAGCCAGUGCCCCCGCACUUGGCCCACUGGAGUCGAGGGCCCAAAAUAAAGUUCACAGUUAAGAUGGCCUGAUGAGUGAUGCAGCCAUCCCAUGCAGAGUUUUAUAUGUAUUUCAGUUUUUAUCACCUACGUUUCAGACUUUCUGUUGCUAGUAAUCAGUCCUACUUAAUUUAAAAUUUAUUUUAUACUUUUUAUUUAUUUUAAUUAAUUUGGACAUGUAAAUUCAAUUAAAACUUACGUGCUUAUUCUGCAUAAUUAUUAAUUUUAUAGCGAAUGCUUAUCAAUAAUGUCCUCAUAUAACACACUAUAGAAAAAUUAAAAUUUUAAUUACUAUAAAAGAAUUUUAAGGUUUUUCAUUGUAUCAUUUGAUUUCCUCUUAUUUCUUGUUCUAUUUUUCAUUUCUCUAAAGUAAGACUUUUAUGCAGUUCAUUAUUCUUUUUAUCCAAACUUUAGCAUUAUCAUUUAAUCAUCCUUACCAAUUUUUUGAGUUUCAUAAUAAUUUUGCUAAUUCAUAUUUAUUUGAUAUGAAUUAUAUAUUAAUUUGAAUUUAAAUGUGAGUAAUACUUUUAAAUAAGUUAAAAUAUGAUUAAUCUAUUUUAUAAAAGGGCCCAAAAUUAUUUUUCGCGCCGGGCCCUAUAAUCCUCAGGACCGGCCCUGCGAAUAAGGUUUGCAUUAAAAAUUCAACUUGCCCAAUUAAUUAACAUAUUUCCCAGUACCCUAGUACCGACACCCAGUGGCAACUCCCAUACAUUACCACUACCUCUAGCACUAAAAGUUAAACCCGAGGUAAUGAAAAAUACAAUCCAUUUGUUUCUUUCAUUUCUUAUGACUUAGCCUGGUCUUUGUGAUCAUGCUCCUACUCACAUGUCCACGGCUGAGCAUUGUAGAAAGUCGAGCCUUGUGGUCAAUCACGCUAAUGAAUGUGAUCAAGCACGUGACAGAGCUGGCUCUAUUAGCGUGGCAACUCCAAUAUAACCCCUAGCAGCUAGCACUGUAAGUUAAACCCGAGGAAAUAAAAAAUACAAUCCGCGUGGUCCUUUCAUUUCUUACGACUUUCCACUUUUUUAUCUCCUUAUUUUUUGUCUCAAAAUAACUUGACUUUCCACUGUUAAAGAGGAGAACCUGAAUUCAUUUUCCAGAAAUCAUGUCACAGAUAUAUUUUUUUUCCUUGAACUAAGCAAGUGUGGGAAAAUAUAUCCCAGAAAUUUUUGCUUUAAACCAUGAAAAUAUUUUUUUAGGAUAUUAAAAUACGCUAGGAAAAAAGAGCAUCAAUAGUUUCCAACCUUUCUUGCAGCGUUACCAGAUGUUCCUGAAUGUUAAGCCUGGAUCACUUGUUCAGUUGCAAGUGAAACAAGCUUGAAAAGCAGGCCACUAGCAAGAUCAGCUACCAAUGCAUCAGCCAUGUUUAUGAGUAUAGCUGUUUAGUAAAACAAAUGUUUGUAAUGUAUGGAAAUGUAUAGCAGAUUACAAUGAAAUAAUAUUGCAGAUUCUUGCUUCGAACUGGGUUGAGCAGAAGCCAGUGAAUGAUGGGUAGGGUAGUUAAAUUACAAGUUAAAAUGCAAAUUUCAAUGUGUAGUAAUGCAGAUUCCAAAGAUUUUCGCCAGAAACGAGUGAAUAUUUGCAUUAAAAAUUCAAUUUUUGCCAAUUAAUUAAUACUAAUCUCCCAGUACCCUCCAACUCCAAUACAUUACCUCUAGCACUAGCUAUAAGUUAUCCCUGAGGAAAUAAGAAAUACAAUUCACGUGAUCCUUUCAUUUCUUAUGACUUUCCACUUUUAUAUUUCCUUAUUUUUUGUCUCAAAAUAAUUUGAUUUCCAUUAUUAAUUAAAGCGGAGAAUGUGAAGUCAUUUUCCAGUCUCCAGAAAUCAUGUCAUAUAUUUCAGAGAAAUUAUUCUAGGAUAAUAAAUAUUUUACUUUCUAGGAACUAAACAUAAAACAAGUGCAGGAAAAUAUCAUAAGUUUAUCUAUGCACCAGCUCUCCCUUUGGACAUUCUGGUAUGUAGGUUGGAGUAGUAGGUUGAAUGCAUUGCAUCUAAUAAAUCCUCCCAGAAGGGUCCUAAUUCCAGAUAUUUUAGACCAUAUAUCCAACCCUUUAAUGACAUUAAUAGUAUUCAGGUCAGGCAAAUCAUGCACACUCUUUAAGCCUACGUCAGGUGUCAAGUAUGUCGAUCCCCGUAACUUAUAAGUAAUCCUUAAUAUUAAAUUAAAAUCAUUAAUCUAUCAAAUUUUUUAAAAUCAAUAAUCUAUCAAAUUUAUUUUAUUAAUAUUUUAGUAACUUAUAAGUACUCCAUAAUAUUAAAUUAAAAUCAAUAAUCUGUCAAACUUUCUAUUAUUAUUAUGUUAAUAACUCGGAAAUCAUCUAUAAUACUUAAUUAUCCAAACAGACAUUUUAAGCGAGGCACUUACUACAAGAGCAUCUCCAAUGAGGAUCUUAAAUCACUCUUUAAAAUAUAAUAUAAUAUGUGGCUCAUACUGAGUUAAGAUAUUAAAAAAAGAUGACAACUCUUAUCUAUACUUGCUCCUUAUUCAUAUUUUAUUCCUACAAAUGAGAGGGAAAGUACAAAAACAGAAAUGUUGGAGAUAAAAUUGGAAGAAAAUUAAUAUUAUAUUCAUAAAUAAAAAGCUAAGAGCUACUAGAUGCUCUUUAAAGAGAGGAAAAAUGCCGGCUCUUACAUUUUUAAAGAGUUUUCAGGAGCCCAGUCGAGCUCUAAUUUUCAUCUUACUCUUUAAAUUUGAAAUUAAAAGCUUGUUUAGAGAGUCUGUUGAAAAUACGAGGCAUACCCAUAUAUUGAAGGAUGAAGGCUGGUGCACCAUUUGCGAAAUGAAUUAAGUAUUUGGUAAAAUUCAAAUGUAGGAGUAAUAUAUAUGAUGCAUCAAAUAUUUAUCAUGAGACCAUGAGUAAAAUUAACUUGACAUAUACGUAUUAUUUUAUCAACUUCAACGAAAUAACGAAUGUCUUUUAUUAUUUCUUAACUAUUAUAUUGCAUGAUUAGAUGUCAAAGUGCAUGAUAAUUGCCUCGCUUGAUUCGUAUUUAGAAUAGAGCAAGUUUAUUAUGUGUUGUUAACUAACAAAUAACAAUGAUAGAAUACAGAAAUGUAACAGACCUCAUUCAAAUUUUCUUAACAUCACUGUAUGACGUUACUCUCAUCAGCCGAGCCCCACUAUUUGUUUGAUGUGUUGGAUUUUGGACCAUUCCGGCCCACUUCCCCUCCUGUAUCUUUCUUUUAUUAUAGGACAUCCAAUUAUAUCCAGGUACUGAAAGUUGUGAUGGAACUUUGGCAAACUCUCCAAAUUUCCACAAUUCCAAAUAUAUAAACUCUCCAGAAAUGGAAGCUUUGCUAGUGAGAUGGGAAGAGAUUUCACUCCUUUAAAACUGUCUAUCCAUAAUUGACGCAAGGCAGGGAAGAUGGAGGAGAGAUAAUCAUCAGGUUGGCCUUCAUCCACUAUCCACUUUAGCUUUUCCCACCCACUCACUGUUAGCUUGAUUACAUUGGGAAAAGAAAAAGACAAAGGCCAUGGGAAUUCAUCUAAAUCCUCUGAGAAUGGUCCUAAUUCCAAUCUUUCAAUUGUACAACUCACACUUUGGGCAAACACCUCAUAGUUCAGACACUUCGAAAUGGAAAGAUAUUUUAGAGCAUCCGACCCUUUGACAAUAUUAAUAGUAUUCAGGUCUGGCAAAUCACUCACACAUAAACUCUUUAAACCUGCGCCGAGUGUCAAAUGUGUCAAUCCCUGUAACUUUAUUACCCUCAAAGUUUCCAAAGAGACAGAAUUGUUUUUCAAGAGCUUGCCGAUUAUGCAGUUCAUACUUGAAGAAGAACAAGAUGAGGAGGAGGAGCAUCCUACUCUGCCACUGAUAUUAUCGAGGUAUACACCUGUGAGGCCGCAUGCCUUUUCGCUCAUUGAUUCCAGUAGCUUGCUGUUGUCCAAGUCUUUGAUCUUCAGAGUCUUCAUCAACGGAUAACAACUUCCCGGAAUCCUUGUCAACUUUGGACAUCCCCAAAUAAUUAACUCCACGAGUUCAGAAAAUGCUAGCACAUUAUUUCGGUCUUCAUCGCUUGUAUCCGUGGCUGGGUCUAGCCAUUCUUCUAGCUUUGGCAUAUUGUUUAAAGAAAGAUUUUUCAAUGACGGAUACAUUGUUAAAACUGUUUCUUCUGCCCCAUCAUCAUUUAACUCACCACUAAUGCUACCCUGUCUACCUCCACAUAAAUGGCUGCUUAUAACCUUGACGUUAUCCAUCCCUUCUAUAUCGAUCAUCCGCAAUUUAGGAAGAUGACCCAGCUGUGGAAACUCUUCACAUCUGUUGCAAUUUAUGAAGGUGAUAACUUCCAAGUUUGUCAUGAUUGUAAUCCAUGCUGCAAACUUCUUUCCCAUAAAGUUCUCAACAAUCAAUUCUCUUAGAUUUGCAUGAGGUUCUAAUCCUUCCAUCACAUCCUCAUGGUUGUUUUCUUUUUCUUCCAUCACAUCUUUAUUCUUUCUCCAGUCUAACUGUAAUCGCUCAAUAUUCGAUUUUGUAAGCAAACUCGCCUUCCUGGCUUCUUCCAUAUUCUCUACAUCACUAAGGCCAUAAAGCGUCAGAGUACCUUGAAGAUUUCUUAAACUUCCCAGUUGUCCAAUAACACAUUGAUGAUCUCUACUCACAAUAAAAAAAGGCAGCGUUUGGAGACAAGUUAACCUCUCUAUCCGAGAAAACACAGUGAUGAUGUCCGAAUUCUCAAAGUCGUAGUAAGGCGCAUCGACCAGAAUAUGUCUUAAAUUGAUUAAGUUGCAAAUAUUUCUUGGAAGCUGUGUUACACUCCGAACGCUCAAUGUCUGCAAGUUGUAGAGUCUCGUAAUGUAAUCAGGUAAUUUAUUCUUAGUCAUGUAGCAUCUUGAGAUAUCCAGAUACUUAAGAUACUUCAGAGUGCUCAAUGAACUUGGCAACGGAUCAUCUUCGAAGGUUCCUUCGAGAACCAAACCAAUUAAGUGACUGGGGUAAGGCACCAAGUCCUUGACGAUGGGAGCAUCUGCGUAUAAUACUUGUACUUUCUCAAAAUUUCUCUUAAGAAGGGGUGGCUUAAUAUUUGUAAUCCCUUUAUCAACCUUCACAUAUAUGGCCUUGGAAAUAUCGUUUAACUCAUGACCAUCAGCCUUCACCGUUGCAGAAUGAUUUCUGGAUAGAUCUAGUGCUAGAUCAUGCACCAGAUCAUGCAUCUUGUAAUCACGUAUGUCGCCAUUUUGUAACAAACAAUUCCCCAACAAUAUGUUAAAGUAUUCCCUCCCUAUAUCUUCCAUAAGCUUAUUGCUACCUUUAGGGGGCAAAAGGAAUCCUAAUGCCAUCCAUAUACGUACCAUUUCAUCUUUUGAGAUACGAGAAUCCUUUGGCAAAAUUGAACAAUAUGCAAAACAUUUCUUUAGAGAAGAAUGAGGUAGAUUAUCAUAAGACAACCUCAAGGAAGGCAAUACAUCAUCGUUCGAAUCCCACGUUGCACUAUCUUGAAUCCGCAACCACUCUUGCUCAGACUUCUUAGAGUGCAGUAAACCCCCUAGUGCAUUUAUUGCCAAAGGCAGGCCACCACACCUUUCCACCAUUUCUCUUCCCAUGGCAGCAAAUCUCGCCGUCUCUAUGACUCCUCCUCGUGAAAAUGCUCUUCGCUUGAACAAUUCCCAGCUAUCUUCUUCUGAUAGUUUCUCCACCCUAUGAGUAAUAAAACAGCGCAUGACAUCAACGACUUUCUGUUUGCGAGUCGUAACUAAAAUCAUGCUUCCACUCGCUCCACCAACCCCGAGCAAGGAAUCCCUUAACUUAUUCCACUUCUCUGUUCUCUCAUUCCAGACAUCAUCUAAGACGAGUAAAAACUUUACGUCCCUUAGAAAGCUUUGAAGUUUCUUAAUGAGUCCCUCUGUAUUUUCCAACACCGAAGCAGUUGAAGUGAGUGAUGCUACCAUUUGAUUUAAAAUUUUCAUGAAAUCAAAGUCAUCCGAUACAGUGACCCACAUCCUCUUCUUGAACAUAUCGGUUACAACAUCUCUGUUGUAAACCAUACGAGCAAGAGUUGUUUUGCCUUGACCUCCCAUCCCCAUUACAGCAAUGACUGGUAAAUCCUCUGCAUGAUUUGUGCACACUGUUUUGACUAAAAAUGAUAUUUCAUCAUCUCUUCCAACUAUUAGUGACUCGUCUUCAAAGGGGGGAGUAUUGCGGAUUUCCCUGGCCUGCACAGUAGUAGUUAAUUGCGCCAAAGUCCCAGAUCUCUGGCCAAUUGAAAAAUUUUGUCGAAAGAAGUAUGGAUAGACUUGAUCUUAUGAGCAACCUUAAAACGAUAAAGUAUGCUCUUCUUCGUAGAAAAAAAGUCCCUCACCUUACUACGAUUUUCAACCUUUUGCCGAGUGACUUCGUAAGCAAGUUCAUCCAUGAAAGCAUCAGCUACAUGAGCAACAUCCUCCAGCUUGUUGAACCAGCUCUGGACAGCAGACAUGUUUAGCCUUUUGCUAUCAGCAUCGGACAAGAGAGCAUCAAUAGUUUCCAACCUUUCUCCCAGCGUUACCAAAUCUUCCUGAAGAUUCCAAGCCUGGAUCAAUUCUUCAGCUGCAAGUGAAACAAGCUUGACAACCAGGCCACUAGCAAGAUCAGCCACAAAUGCAUCAACCAUGUUUGUAUAGCUGUAUAGGAAAAGAAAUGUUUGUAAUGUAUGGAGAUUAUAAUUUGAUACUCCAGAACUUCCAAUGCGUUGAAGUUAAGUAACAAUGAAAUAAUGCAGAUUCUUGGCCCGAAUACAAUUUGCACAAAAAAUACAAUUUGUGUCAGCAUCAACUCGUCAACUGAAUCAACUACCCUUGCCAACUAAUCUCACCAACUCCAGUACAUUACCUCUAGCACUAUAUAUAAGUUAAUGCCCAGGAAAUUAAAAAUGACCAUCCGUCUACCCCUGCUUAUUGGUUUGUUUCUUGUGACUUUCCAUUUUCUUAUUUCCACAUUUUUUUGCCCAAAAAUAAAUUGAUUUUCCAGAAACUAAGAACCAACUCCGCCGUGAAAAGCCCUUAGACUAUAAAUUGAGUUAGAUGCCAAAAAUAAAAAAAUAUAGAUAAUUUUUUUAAAACUCACUCAAAACAUAUAUGUAACUGCCACAUCAUCAAUUACCAUAUUAAAAAAAUACAUUUUAUUUAUAAUAAUUUCAAAAUAAUAAUAUAUUAUUUUUAAAAUAUAACCAAUCAAUAUUAUCGAAAUAAAAAGUUUUACAGCUUGAGCAAAUUUUACAUAAUGUUUCAAUUUAGCCAAACAUAUAACCGACCUAAUUAGAGAUGCUCUCAACAAGCGUUGAACAUAUUUUUCAAAAGUUUUGAUUUUGAACAAUAAAAAUAUUUUUAAGAAUCAAUACCCUUUAUUAAUAAGCGAAACCACGUUUCAGUUGAACAUCAGUACGAAAACACCAAAAUUUGGUCAUCAUAUAUUAUAUUUAAUUAUUAUUAUUAUAUCAUUAUUAUACUCCUAUUAAAAGUAUUAUACUCCAAUUAAAAGAUAUAAGACAUAUAUAUUGUUCAGGACUUUUUUACAUAACAAUUAUUCAUGAUAUCAUUCUAUCCCAAUAUAACUAAAUAUUUUAAUUUAGGGUAAGAAGGGUAGUUUAUAAACAGAGAUAUUACUCGAAGUGAAGGUACUCUAAUUAGUAUAUUGUUCAUUUAAACAUUAUAUGUAAUUUUUCGAGUUUUUUGAUUCAUAUAUAUAUGUAUAUUUUAUCUGGUUCUUUAGUUUUGUGAUCAAUUUAUUGUCCAUAUAUAAUACUCUUGCACGAGUCCAUAUAUACAAAUGAAAUUCUUACUUCGCUGCAAUAAACAUGGGUAUUUAUGAUGGAUAACUUAUUACGAAAAAGGUGGGCGCACAUAAUUAACUUAUAAUGGAAAGACAAAAUCGUCAAAUGAUAUAAUACAAACAUAUGACAGACACAGCUCCCGUCGUAUUAUAAGAUGUGUGUAAUAAAAUUUUAGCACUAACAGAUAAAAUAGCAAUAAUAUUAUUUCACGCAUCAAAAUCGUCGCAAGUUCGCGUCGUAAUAUUGCUGAAGACCAAGUUAAAUGUCGUUCUAAAAGCGUUGUCUUAAAAAAAUGCGCGGUCCAAAUAAAUAUGAUAGCUUUUACCGUAAUAUAUACAAAUGAUAGUCCAACUCUUAUAAUUAUAAAUCCAAAAUCAGCCCUCCACAACUUACGACCGUAUUUUUGUCGUAAUAUCAAUGAUACUACCGUCGAACCUAUCAUCGUAAAAUCUAUUCCAAAAAGUGAGUGAGGGUCCCAUAUAUUACUAACGACGACAAUUUUGUCGUAAAAUACUAUAACUAACGAUAGUAUAUUUGUCGUAAAUAUAUUGGUCCCACAGUAAUAAGGGUAAUGAAUUCUAUUUUUAUUUAUUAAAAAGUUUUGAAGACACGUAUUAUUUUUAUUUCUUAGUCUUUUUUAGUAAAAAAUGCUUUGCUUAUACUUUCUUACUACACGUGGUUGAUAACAAUGCUUGCAACUUCAAAAUAUAUAACAUUUAUCAAUAGUUUAAUUUCAAAAGUUUAUAUUAAUUAAUCCAAAUGUAAGUGUCACUUAUUUCUUUUAUUUAUUAAAUGUAUCAAAGACCAAUCUCUAAUAAGAAGAUAUGAAGAAUGUGAAUUAACUAUCUUGCAAUAUUUGAUUAUCCACGUAACUACAUAAUAAUAAAGUGUACAUGUCUAUAUACCUAUCAUUAUACGUAGAUACAGUCAUUCAGACUUAUUUAUUUAGUUUAACGUAUAAUUUAAAAUUCUAUUAAUAUAAUGUCCAGAUUGACGUAUAAUGUUGAGUUUGAUGAAUAAUUUCACUUUAAUGUUCUUGACAUAUAAUAAACUUAAAUAUUACAAAAUUAUGUCUAACAUAAAAUUUUCGACCUAAUUUGUAUGUGAAAAUUAAAAUAUUAUUUAGUAUCAAAUUUAUUUUGAAAUAAUAAUAAACAAACAAUAAAUAAUUGACGCCCGUGCGCGGAACGUAAUACUCUGUCUCCUAAUAAUAGUGGGACGAUGCAUUCUCAGAGCAUGUUACCUGGCUCAAUGCUGAACGCGGGCCUCUAUUUUAAACUAAUUAAAUCAAUUUGUGAUAUAUACUAUGAUUGAUAGAUCAAAUCAUCACAGAUGACAAAACUAUCUUCUAAUAUGUGUGUUCUGUAGAAAAAGGAAGGAUAGAAUUUCAGACCGCAUGCAUUGAUGCUAACCAAGAUUUAAAAACACUCAAGACAAUAGUUUUGAUCAAUAUUGGUAAGGUUGUCUAACAAACCACUAUUAAUGCUGAGGAUCUAAACUUCUUCUGUUUAAAGUUUUUGUUUUUCUAUCUCUCUUUAUAUACUAAUAUAGGACAAUCAAGCCCAAAUAUUUGUUUGAUGUGUUGGAUUUUGGACCAUUCCGGGCCACUUCCCUUCAUGUAUCUUUCUUCUAUUAUAGGACAGUCAAAUAUCAUCAGGUACUGAAGAUUGUCAUGGAACUUUAGCAAACUCUCCAAAUUUGCACAACCAGUAAUAGAUAAGCUCUCUAGAAAUGGAAGCUUUGCUAGUGAAAUGGGAAGAGAUUUCACUCCUCUAAACAAAUCUAUGUGUAAUUGACGCAAGGCAGGAAAGAUGGAGAAGAGAUAAUCAUCAGGUUUCCCUUCAUCCACUAUCCACUUUAGCUUUUUCCACCCAGUCACUGUUAGCUUGAUUACAUUGGGAAAAGAAAAGGAUGAGGGCCAUGGGAAUUCAUCUAAAUCCUCCGAGAAGUCUCCUAAUUCCAAAGAUUCAAUUGUAGAACUCACAUUUUGGGCAAGCACCUCAUUGUUCGGACACCUCAAAAUAGAAAGAUCUUUUAGAGCAUCGACCAUUUGAUUGUUUUCAGGUCAGGCAAAUCAUGCACACUUAAGCUCUUUAAACCUACUCCAAGUGUCAAGUGUGUCAAUCCUUGUAACUUUCGUACACUCAAAGUUUUCAAAGACACAGAAUUGUUUUUCAAGAGCUCGCCCAUUAUGCAGUUCAUGCUUGAAGAAGAAGAAGAACAUCCCACUCCUCCAUUGAUAUUCUGGAGGAGUACAUCUGUGAGACCGCAUGCCUUUUCGCUCAAUGAUUCCAGUAACUUGCUGCUAUCCAAGUCUGUGAUGUGCAGUGUAUUGAUCAUCAACGGAUAACGUACAACUACUUGGAAUCCUUAUCAACUUUGAACAGCACGAAAUACGUAACACUUUGAGUUUAGCAAAUGCUAGCACAUUAUGUGGGUCUUCACCGCUUGUAUCCAUAACUGGGUCUAGCCAUUCUUCUAGCUUUGGCAAAUCCUGUAAAUCUAAUCUUUCCAAUGACGGAUACAUUGUUGCAAUUGUUUCUUCUGCCCCAUUUUCACCACUAAUGCUACCUUCACCUCCACAUAAAUGGCUCCUUAUGACCUUGACGUUAUCCAUCCCCUCUAUCUCUAUUGUAAAUUAUACGAGCAAGAGUUGUUUUGCCUUGACCUCCCAUUCCCAUUACAGCAAUGACUGGUAAAUCCUCUGCAUGAUUUGUGCACACUGUUUCGACUAAAAAUGAUAUUUCAUCCUCUCUUCCAACUAUCUGUGACUCAUCUUCAAAGGGGGGGAGUAUUGAGGACUUCGUUGAGUAGUCGUUAAAUGCGCCACAGGCUGAAGUCCGAGAUCUCUGGCCAAUUGAAAAAUUUUGUCGAAAGAGGAAUGGAUAGACUUGAUCUUAUGAGCAACCUUAAAACGAUAAAGUAUGCUCUUUUUAGAAGAAAAGAAGUGCUUCAACGUACCAAGAUUUUCAACCUUUCGCCGAGUGACUUCAUAAGCAAGUUCAUCCAUGAAAACAUCAGCUACACGAGCAACAUCCUCCAGUUUGCUGAACCAGCUCUGGACAGCAGACAUCUUUAGCCUUUUGCUAUCCGCAUCGGACAGAAGAGCAUCAAUGGUUUCCAACCUUUCUUGCAGGGUUACCAGAUCUUCCUGCAGAUUCCAAGCCUGGAUGACUUCAUCAGCUGCAAGAGAAACAAGCUUGAAAACCAGGCCACUAGCACAGAUAAAGAAAUGUUUGUAAUGUAUGGAGAUUAUAAUUUGAUACAGUGUAAUAGAAGUUAAAUUACAAUGUAAGAAUACAGAUUCUUGGCCCGAAUAAGGUUCGCAUUAGAGUUUAGAAAUCAAUUAACAUUUUUCCCAGUACCCUAGUACCGACACCCAGUGCCAACUCCCAUACAUUACCACUACCUCUGGCACUAAAAGUUAAACCCGAGGUAAUGAAAAAUACAAUGCGCUUGGUUCUUUCAUUUCUUAUGACUUAGCCUGGUCUUUGUGAUCAUGCUCCUACUCACAUGUCCGCGGCUGAGCAUUGUAGAAAGUCGGGCCUUGUGGUCAAUCACGCUAAUGAAUGUGAUCAAGCACGUGACAGAGCUGGCUCUAUUAGCGUGGCAACUCCAAUAUAACCUCUAGCAGCUGCACUGUAAGUUAAACCCGGGGAAAUAACAAAUACAAUCCGCGUGGUCCUUUCAUUUCUUACGACUUUCCACUUUUUUAUCUCCUUAUUUUUUGUCUCAAAAUAACUUGAUUUUCCACUGUUAAAGAGGAGAACCUGAAUUCAUUUUCCAGAAAUCAUGUCACAGAUAUAUUUUUUUUCCUUGAACUAAGCAAGUGUGGGCAAAUAUUUUCCAGAAAUUUUUGCUUUAAACCAUGAAAAUAUUUUUUUAGGAUAUUAAAAUACGCUAGGAAAAAAGAGCAUCAAUAGUUUCCAACCUUUCUUGCAGCGUUACCAGAUGUUCCUGAAUGUUAAGCCUGGAUCACUUGUUCAGUUGCAAGUGAAACAAGCUUGAAAAGCAGGCCACUAGCAAGAUCAGCUACCAAUGCAUCAGCCAUGUUUAUGAGUAUAGCUGUUUAGUAAAACAAAUGUUUGUAAUGUAUGGAAAUGUAUAGCAGAUUACAAUGAAAUAAUAUUGCAGAUUCUUGCUUCGAACUGGGUUGAGCAGAAGCCAGUGAAUGAUGGGUAGGGUAGUUAAAUUACAAGUUAAAAUGCAAAUUUCAAUGUGUAGUAAUGCAGAUUCCAAAGAUUUUCGCCAGAAACGAGUGAAUAUUUGCAUUAAAAAUUCAAUUUUUGCCAAUUAAUUAAUACUAAUCUCCCAGUACCCUCCAACUCCAAUACAUUACCUCUAGCACUAGCUAUAAGUUAUCCCUGAGGAAAUAAGAAAUACAAUUCACGUGAUCCUUUCAUUUCUUAUGACUUUCCACUUUUAUAUUUCCUUAUUUUUUGUCUCAAAAUAAUUUGAUUUCCAUUAUUAAUUAAAGCGGAGAAUGUGAAGUCAUUUUCCAGUCUCCAGAAAUCAUGUCAUAUAUUUCAGAGAAAUUAUUCUAGGAUAAUAAAUAUUUUACUUUCUAGGAACUAAACAUAAAACAAGUGCAGGAAAAUAUCAUAAGUUUAUCUAUGCACCAGCUCUCCCUUUGGACAUUCUGGUAUGUAGGUUGGAGUAGUAGGUUGAAUGCAUUGCAUCUAAUAAAUCCUCCCAGAAGGGUCCUAAUUCCAGAUAUUUUAGACCAUAUAUCCAACCCUUUAAUGACAUUAAUAGUAUUCAGGUCAGGCAAAUCAUGCACACUUGAGCUCUUUAAACCUACGUCAGGUGUCAAGUAUGUCAAUCCCCGUAACUUAUAAGUAAUCUUUAAUUAAAUUAAAAUCAUUAAUCUAUCACAUUUUUUAAAAUCAAUAAUCUAUCAAAUUUAUUUUAUUAUUAUUUUAGUAACUUAUAAGUACUCCAUAAUAUUAAAUUAAAAUCAAUAAUCUGUCAAACUUUCUAUUAUUAUUAUGUUAAUAACUCGGAAAUCAUGUAUAAUACUUAAUUAUCCAAGCAUUAAUCCAAACAGAGGCACUUACUACAAGAGCAUCUCCAAUGAGGAUCUUAAAUCACUCUUUAAAAUAUAAUAUAAUAUGUGGCUCCUACUGAGUUAAGAUAUUAAAAAAAGAUGACAACUCCAAUACGCCUUAUUUUAUUCCUACAAAUGAGAGGGAAAAGUACAAAAACAAAGAUGCUAGAGAUAAAAUUGGAGGGAAACUAAUAUUAUAUUCAUAAAUAAAAAGUUAAGAGCUACUCGAUGCUCUUUAAAAGAGAGGAAAGAUGCGGGCUCUCACAUUUUUAAAGAGCUUUUUAGGAGCCAAGUCGAGCUCUAAUUUUUCGUCUUAAUCUUUAAAUUUGAAAUUAAAAGCUUGUUUAGAGAGUACCUUGAAAAUAUGAGGCAUACCCAUAUAUUGAAGGAUGAAGGCUGGUGCACCUCUUUAAAAAGACUCAGAUGUAUUGUUUUAUUAGACUGAAGUUGAAAGCCUUUCUUAAAACCUGCUUAAGUCUAUGAUUCCGAAACUGCAUGAAAGGUAUAUCCAUAUUCCAUAUAUAAAAGAAAGUAAAGUUUUACGUUUAUUAGUAUUGUAUAAAUAUUCAUUCAUUUAAUUAUUAGUUAAAUCAUUUUUGGCCAUGCAUGUUCUCCUAGAAGUAGAACCAUUUGCGAAAUGAAUUAAGUAUUUUGUAAAAUUCAAAUGUAGGAGUAAUAUAUAUGAUGCAUAAAAUAUUUAUCAUGAGACCAUGAGUAAAAUAUAACUUGACAUAUACGUAUUAUUUUAUCAACUUCAACGAAAUAACGAAUGUCUUUUAUUAUUUCUUAACUAUUAUAUUGCAUGAUUAGAUGUCAAAGUGCAUGAUAAUUGCCUCGCUUGAUUCGUAUUUAGAAUAGAGCAAGUUUAUUAUGUGUUGUUAACUAACAAAUAACAAUGAUAGAAUACAGAAAUGUAAAAGACCUCAUUCAAAUUUUCUUAACAUCACUGUAUGACGUUACUCUCAUCAGUCAAGCCCAUGUAUUUGUUUGAUGUGUUGGAUUUUGGACCAUUCCGGUCCGCUUCCCUUCAUGUAUCUUUCUUUUAUUAUAGGACAGCUAUAUAUCUCCAGGUACUGCAAGUUGUGAUGGAACUUUGGCAAACUCUCCAAAUUUCCACAAAGAUCAAUUGAUAAUCUCUCCAGGAAUGGAAGCUUUGCUAGUGAGAUGGGAAGAGAUUUCACUCCUUCAAACACCUGUAUGUCUAAUUGACGCAAGGCAGGGAAGAUGGAGGAGAGAUAAUCAUCAGGUUGGCCUUCAUCCACUAUCCACUUUAGCUUUUCCCACCCACACACUCUUAGGUAGAUUACAUUGGGAAAAGAGAAGGACGAGGGCCAUGGGAAUUCAUCUAAAUCCUCCGAGAAGGGUCCUAAGUCCAAUCUUUCAACUGUAGAACUCACACUUUGGGCAAACACCUCAUAGUUCAGACACUCCGAAAUGGAAAGAUCUUUUAGAGCAUCCGACCCUUUGACAAUAUUAAUAGUAUUCAGGUCUGGCAAAUCACUCACACAUAAACUCUUUAAACCUGCGCCGAGUGUCAAAUGUGUCAAUCCCUGUAACUUUAUUACAGUCAAAGUUUCCAAAGACACAGAAUUGUUUUUCAAGAGCUUGCCGAUUAUGCAGUUCAUACUUGAAGAAGAAGAAGAUGAGGAGGAGGAGCAUCCUACUCCGCCACUGAUAUUCUCGAGUCGUAGAUCUGUGAGACCGCAUGCCUUUUCGCUCAACGAUUCCAGUAGCUUGCUGCUGUCCAAGUCUCCGAUGUCCAGUGUCUUCAACAACGGAUAACAACUUCCCGGAAUCCUUGUCAACUUUGGACAUUCCCAAAUAUAUAACUCCACGAGUUUAGGAAACACUAGCACAUUAUUCGGGUCUUCACCGCUUGUAUCCGUAGCUGGGUCUAGCCAUUCUUCUAGCUUUGGCAAAUGGCCUAAAGAGAGAUUUUUCAAUGACGGAUACAUUGUUAAAACUGUUUCUUCUGCCCCAUUAUCAUUUAACUCACCACUAAUGCUACCUUGUCUACCUCCACAUAAAUCGCUGCUUAUAACCUUGACGUUAUCCAUCCUGUAUAUACUAAUCUCUCUCAAUUUAGGAAGAUGACCCAGCUGUGGAAACUCUUCACAUCUUUUGCAAUUUUUGAAGGUGAUAACUUCCAAGUUUGUCAUGAUUGUAAUCCAUGCUGCAAACUUCUUUCCCAUAAAGUUGCCAACAUCCAAUGCUUUUAGAUUUGCAUGAGGUUCUAAUCCUUCCAUCACAUCCUCAUGGUUGUUUUCUUUUUCUUCCAUCACAUCUUUAUUCUUUCUCCAGUCUAACGUUAAAUGCUCAAUAUUCGAUUUUGUAAGCAAACUCGCCUUCCUGGCUUCUUCCAUAUUCUCUACAUCACUAAGGCCAUAAAGCUUCAGAGUACCUUGAAGAUAUUUUAAACUUCCCAGUUGUCCAAUAACACAUUGAUGAUCUCUAGUCGCAAUAAAAUAAGGCAGCGUUUGGAGACAAGUUAACCUCUCUAUCCGAGAAAACACAGUGAUGAUGUCCGAAUUCUUAAAGUCGUAGUUAUAAGGCUCAUCGACCAGAAUAUGUCUUAAAUUGAUUAAGUUGCAAAUAUUUCUUGGAAGCUGUGUUGCACUCCGAACGCUCAAUGUCUGCAAGUUGUAGAGUCUCGUAAUGUAAUCAGGUAAUUUAUUCUUAGUCAUGUAGCAUCUUGAGAUAUCCAGAUACUUAAGAUACUUCAGAGUGCUCAAUGAACUUGGCAACGGAUCAUCUUCGAAGGUUCCUUCGAGAACCAAACCAAUUAAGUGACUGGGGUAAGGCACCAAGUCCUUGACGAUGCGAGCAUCUGCAUAUAAUACUUGUACUUUCUCAAAAUUUCUCUUAAGAAGGGGUGGCUUAAUAUUUGUAAUCCCUACAUCAACCUUCACAUAUAUGGCCUUGGAAAUAUCGUCUAACUCAUGACCAUCAGCCUUCACUGUUGCAGAAUGAUUUUUGGAUAGAUCUAGUGCUAGAUCAUGCACCAGAUCAUGCAUCUUGUAAUCACGUAUGUCGCCAUUUUGUAACAAACAAUUCCACAACAAUAUGUUAAAGUAUUCCCUCCCUAUAUCUUCCAUUAGCUUAUUGCUACCUUUAGGGGGCACAAGGAAUCCUAAUGCCAUCCAUAUACGUACCAUUUCACCUUUUGAGAUAAGAGAAUCCUUUGGCAAAAUUGAACAAUAUGCAAAACAUUUCUUUAGAGAAGAAUGAGGUAGAUUAUCAUAAGACAACCUCAAGGAAGGCAAUACAUCAUCAUUCGAAUCCCACGUUGCACUAUUUUGAAUCCGCAACCACUCUUGCUCAGACUUCUUAGAGUGCAGUAAACCUCCAAGUGCUUUUAUUGCCAAAGGCAGGCCACCACACCUUCCCACCAUUUUUCUUCCCAUGGCUACAAAUCUCGCCGUCUCUAAAACUCCUCCUCGUGAAAAUGCUCUUCGCUUGAACAAUUCCCAGCUAUCUUCUUUUGAUAAUUUCUCCACCCUAUGAGAAAUAAGACAUCGCAUGACAUCAACGACUUCCUGUUUACGAGUUGUAACUAAAAUCUUGCUACCACUCGCUCCACCAACCCCGAGCAAAGAAUUCCUUAACUUAUCCCACUCCUCUGGUCUCUCAUUCCAGACAUCAUCUAAGACGAGUAAAAACUUUACGUCCCUUAGAAAGCUUUGAAGUUUCUUAAUGAGUCCCUCUGUAUUUUCCAACACCGAAGUAGUUGAAGUGAGUGAUGCUACCAUUUGAUUUAAAAUUUUCAUGAAAUCAAAGUCAUCCGAUACAGUGACCCACAUCCUCUUCUUGAACAUAUCGGUUACAACAUCUCUGUUGUAAACCAUACGAGCAAGAGUUGUUUUGCCUUGACCUCCCAUCCCCAUUACAGCAAUGACUGGUAAAUCCUCUGCAUGAUUUGUGCACACUGUUUUGACUAAAAAUGAUAUUUCAUCAUCUCUUCCAACUAUUAGUGACUCGUCUUCAAAGGGGGGAGUAUUGCGGAUUUCCCUGGGCUGCACAGCAGUAGUUAAUUGCGCCACAGGCUGAAGUCCGAGAUCUCUGGCCAAUUGAAAAAUAUUGUCGAGAGAAGUAUGGAUAGAC
Molecule: long non-coding RNA, 24083 nt
Filed under: Daucus carota (carrot)
Lineage: Eukaryota; Viridiplantae; Streptophyta; Magnoliopsida; Apiales; Apiaceae
Description: long non-coding RNA (DCAR_LNC001678)
Source: RNAcentral